UUGACGGGGCCCGCACAAGCGGUGGAGUAUGUGGUUUAAUUCGAUGCAACGCGAAGAACCUUACCUGGUCUUGACAUCCCGGAGACCCUUAGGAAACUAGGGGUGCUUCCAUCUGGAAGAAUCUGGAGACAGGUGCUGCAUGGCUGUCGUCAGCUCGUGUCGUGAGAUGUUGGGUUAAGUCCCGCAACGAGCGCAACCCUUGCCUUUAGUUGCCAGCAGUUCGGCUGGGCACUCUAAAGGGACUGCCGGUGUUAAACCGGAGGAAGGUGGGGAUGACGUCAAGUCCUCAUGGCCUUUAUGACCAGGGCUACACACGUACUACAAUGGCCGAUACAAAGGGCAGCGACACUGCGAGGUGAAGCCAAUCCCGUAAAAUCGGUCUCAGUCCGGAUUGGAGUCUGCAACUCGACUCCAUGAAGUUGGAAUCGCUAGUAAUCGUGGAUCAGCAUGCCACGGUGAAUACGUUCCCGGGCCUU
This 476-nucleotide ribosomal RNA is filed under the name uncultured Desulfobulbus sp. Its description in RNAcentral is "bacterial SSU rRNA". It matches the Rfam family "Bacterial small subunit ribosomal RNA", at positions 910 to 1382 of the family's 1533-position model. The record is from RNAcentral. Lineage: Bacteria; Pseudomonadati; Thermodesulfobacteriota; Desulfobulbia; Desulfobulbales; Desulfobulbaceae.